Molecule: ribosomal RNA, 484 nt
Filed under: uncultured bacterium
Lineage: Bacteria
Description: partial 16S ribosomal RNA
Rfam family: Bacterial small subunit ribosomal RNA
Source: RNAcentral
UGGGGAAUUUUGGACAAUGGGCGCAAGCCUGAUCCAGCCAUGCCGCGUGCGGGAAGAAGGCCUUCGGGUUGUAAACCGCUUUUGUCAGGGAAGAAAUCUUCUGAGUUAAUACCUCGGGAGGAUGACGGUACCUGAAGAAUAAGCACCGGCUAACUACGUGCCAGCAGCCGCGGUAAUACGUAGGGUGCAAGCGUUAAUCGGAAUUACUGGGCGUAAAGCGUGCGCAGGCGGUUUUGUAAGACAGAGGUGAAAUCCCCGGGCUCAACCUGGGAACUGCCUUUGUGACUGCAAGGCUUGAGUGCGGCAGAGGGGGGAUGGAAUUCCGCGUGUAGCAGUGAAAUGCGUAGAUAUGCGGAGGAACACCGAUGGCGAAGGCAAUCCCCUGGGCCUGCACUGACGCUCAUGCACGAAAGCGUGGGGAGCAAACAGGAUUAGAUAGCCCCUGGUAGUCCACGCCCUAAAACGAUGUCAACUGGUUGUUGGG